UUAGUGAAGUGCUUCGCCUGCUCUAUCGACAAGGCUUUGGGUUUGUACUGCCAAGCAGGCACGAAGUACCUGGGACACACUACAAAACCCUUUCAAAAAGCAGGUAAAUCACAGCAACCAGAAUGCAGCUGCGACAAUUGAAAGUGCUUUUCGUUAUGAUAGCAUACAGUUGGUCUGCAGUUUACGGACAAAUUGUGGCCC
This is a long non-coding RNA of Polyodon spathula (Mississippi paddlefish), 201 nucleotides long. RefSeq lists it as uncharacterized. The record is from RefSeq and is a predicted model, not a curated record. The transcript has 3 exons. NCBI's taxonomy places the organism in Eukaryota, Metazoa, Chordata, Actinopteri, Acipenseriformes, Polyodontidae.